CUGUGCCCCAGCUGUUUUACUCACUGGUGUUGCAGUAGAAGAUAUAUUUACACGCACGCACAAGUGUGUGACAAAUGCAAACACUGAUGGGCAGAAGGAACACUCCAGGACUGGUAUCGACUGCAGUUGGCAAACCUAGGUUGAUAAGUUGGAGAUGCUGGGCAUUCCCCCGGAAGGCUGUUGCGACUUCAAUAUCCUCUUCCUUUUAGAUAAAUUGGACCGUGGAAAACUGGAAGGAAAGUACUUCCAAUUGUUCUUCGCAAUCAAAAUUAUGUAGUAAAAUGGACACAUUUCUGCAGGAUAGUCUCCAAAACAUCUACCACGCCAGUAGAGAUGUCAAUAAAAGUAGUCUUCAACUUA
Thamnophis elegans (Western terrestrial garter snake) is the source of this 360-nucleotide long non-coding RNA. RefSeq lists it as uncharacterized. Lineage: Eukaryota; Metazoa; Chordata; Lepidosauria; Squamata; Natricidae. The record is from RefSeq and is a predicted model, not a curated record. The transcript is spliced from 3 exons.